RNAcentral lists this unclassified non-coding RNA (405 nucleotides) under soil metagenome. Its description in RNAcentral is "partial contains 5.8S ribosomal RNA, internal transcribed spacer 2, and large subunit ribosomal RNA". The stretch from base 1 to 121 matches the Rfam family "5.8S ribosomal RNA", at positions 35 to 154 of the family's 154-position model. The record is from RNAcentral.
GAUGAAGAACGCAGCGAAAUGCGAUAAGUAAUGUGAAUUGCAGAAUUCAGUGAAUCAUCGAAUCUUUGAACGCACCUUGCGCCCUUUGGCCAUUCCGAAGGGCAUGCCUGUUUGAGUAUCAUGAACACCUCAACUCUUUAUGGUUUUCCAUGAUGAGCUUGGACUCUGGGGGUUUUGCUGGCUCACAGUCGGCUCCUCUAAAAUGAAUCAGCUUACCAGUGUUUGGUGGGUAUCAUGGGUGUGAUAACUAUCUACGCUUGUGGUUUUUCCACCAGGUAACCUUCAGCAGUGGAGGUUCGCUGGAGCUCAUAGAUGUCUCUCCUCAGUGGGGACAGCCCUUUGAAUGUUUGAUCUCAAAUCAGGUAGGACUACCCGCUGAACUUAAGCAUAUCAAUAAGCGGAGGA